Molecule: ribosomal RNA, 407 nt
Filed under: uncultured bacterium
Lineage: Bacteria
Description: partial 16S ribosomal RNA
Rfam family: Bacterial small subunit ribosomal RNA
Source: RNAcentral
AUUGAACGCUGGCGGCAGGCCUAACACAUGCAAGUCGAGCGGAGCGACGGACGGGUGAGUAAUGCCUAGGAAUCUGCCUGGCAGUGGGGGAUAACUUCCUGAUACGGGCGCUAAUACCUCCUGCUAUCAGAUAAGCCUAGGUCGGAUUGGCUAGUUGGUGGGGUAAAGGCCUACCAAGGCGACGAUCCGUAACUGGUCUGAGAGGAUGAUCAGUCACACUGGAACUGAGACACGGUCCAGACUCCUACGGGAGGCAGCAGUGGGGAAUAUUGGACAAUGGGCGAAAGCCUGAUCCAGCCAUGCCGCGUGUGUGAAGAAGGUCUUCGGAUUGUAAAGCACUUUAAGUUGGGAGGCGUUACCCACAGAAUAAGCACCGGCUAACUUCGUGCCAGCCGCCGCGGUAAUUC